AACGAACGCUGGCGGCAUGCCUAACACAUGCAAGUCGAACGAGAUCUUCGGGUCUAGUGGCGCACGGGUGCGUAACGCGUGGGAAUCUGCCUUGGGGUUCGGAAUAACUCCCCGAAAGGGGUGCUAAUACCGGAUGAUGUCGAAAGACCAAAGAUUUAUCGCCCUGAGAUGAGCCCGCGUAGGAUUAGCUAGUUGGUGUGGUAAAGGCGCACCAAGGCGACGAUCCUUAGCUGGUCUGAGAGGAUGAUCAGCCACACUGGGACUGAGACACGGCCCAGACUCCUACGGGAGGCAGCAGUGGGGAAUAUUGGACAAUGGGCGAAAGCCUGAUCCAGCAAUGCCGCGUGAGUGAUGAAGGCCUUAGGGUUGUAAAGCUCUUUUACCCGGGAAGGUAAUGACUGUACCGGGAGAAUAAGCCCCGGCUAACUCCGUGCCAGCCGCCGCCGUAA
This 449-nucleotide ribosomal RNA is filed under the name uncultured bacterium. RNAcentral describes it as "partial 16S ribosomal RNA". It matches the Rfam family "Bacterial small subunit ribosomal RNA", at positions 29 to 523 of the family's 1533-position model. The record is from RNAcentral.